UACGGGGGGGGCAAGCGUUGUUCGGAAUUACUGGGCGUAAAGGGCCAGUAGGCGGCCAACUAAGUCGGAUGUGAAAUCCCCAGGCUCAACCUGGGAACUGCAUCCGAUACUGGAUGGCUUGAAUUCGGGAGAGGGAUGCAGAAUUCCAGGUGUAGCGGUGAAAUGCGUAGAUAUCUGGAGGAAUACCGGUGGCGAAGGCGGCAUCCUGGACCGACAUUGACGCUGAACGGCGAAAGCUAGGGGAGCAAACGGGAUUAGAAACCCCCGUAGUCC
Molecule: ribosomal RNA, 273 nt
Filed under: uncultured bacterium
Lineage: Bacteria
Description: partial 16S ribosomal RNA
Rfam family: Bacterial small subunit ribosomal RNA
Source: RNAcentral